RNAcentral lists this small RNA (326 nucleotides) under Histoplasma capsulatum var. duboisii H88. RNAcentral's name for it is "Histoplasma capsulatum H88 hypothetical RNA". The record is from RNAcentral. Lineage: Eukaryota; Fungi; Ascomycota; Eurotiomycetes; Onygenales; Ajellomycetaceae.
GACAACUGGGCCUGUAUUGUUUGGGCUUGGUGGAGAGCAUGGAGCGGCUCCAACUCGUGCUUUUAUUGAGCACACUUCUGUGUUGUAAAACGUGCAAUCUUCUUGAUGGGAGGGCUUUACCACCACACUAAAAAGGAUCAAUCCUUGAGGUGGGAACCUAUUCCCCAAGAUAUAUAUAAUUAUAUAUGCAUGUUUCACGUGUAUGUCCUAGGUCCUGUAGGGGAUGAUCGGAAGGUUGGUAGUCUCUCCUCUGGUCCAGGGCGGAAAGUUACGUCUCGACUGGCGCCGGAAAAACUCAUGGUUCAAGGAGACGACCUCCUGAAAUG